UACGUAGGGGGCAAGCGUUGUUCGGAUUUACUGGGCGUAAAGGGCGCGUAGGCGGUAGCACAAGUCAGUUGUGAAAUCUCCGGGCUUAACUCGGAAAGGUCAACUGAUACUGUGCGACUAGAGUGCAGAAGGGGCAACUGGAAUUCUCGGUGUAGCGGUGAAAUGCGUAGAUAUCGAGAGGAACACCUGCGGCGAAGGCGGGUUGCUGGGCUGACACUGACGCUGAGGCGCGAAAGCCAGGGGAGCGAACGGG
RNAcentral lists this ribosomal RNA (253 nucleotides) under uncultured bacterium. RNAcentral's name for it is "partial 16S ribosomal RNA". It matches the Rfam family "Bacterial small subunit ribosomal RNA", at positions 524 to 776 of the family's 1533-position model. The record is from RNAcentral.